AAAGUGGAGAAGGGAAAGAGCAAUGUGAAAGAGGAGAAGCUAAAGCAGCAGCAGCAAGCAAAUGCAGCAGUAGUAAUAGAAGAAGGAGAAACAGCAGAGGAGAGUGAGGAUAAACAGGAAAAUGAAGGGAGAGAAGGAAGAUAAGAACAAGGAAAAAAAGCUGGAGCAGUCAGGUUUUAUUGGCGGUUUGAGACCAUCCAGAUAUCUCUCUCUGUGCACAGGAAUGAACAGCACUCCAGAUGGUGCAGCUCCGUCAGCCUUGAUGCCCAAUUGUACACAAUGAAUGGACUUCCCACCUGGCUAUAUGUUAUAUGCUCAAACAAGAAUGACCAUACAGCAUUAAUGACACAUAUAACUGCUACUUACAGACAAUUGGAUUUGUGCUUUGUAUUUUAUGGAUGUAUAAACUUACCCAGGCUGUCUGAUCCACCCCCUUCUCACAUUUAGUUUAAUAAAAAAAUUAGAAGCCAUCAUCUAAGAAACCCAUGCAAUCCUUGUUUGUCUCUGAAGCAUCCAUGUAUCUUCCAUUCUGUGUGAAUUUAAUGUCACCUGUACUCCUGGUUUUACUUACUUAAUUCUCUUGGCACCCUCAUUUUAUCAUUGUCUAUCUUAUCUAUGUAACCCAUCCCUUCUAUUAUAUUUAGAUGACUAAAAGUUUGUUUCUGGAACUCUAUUCUGUUUCAUUGUUCUAUUGGUUUAUCUUUGCACCAAUCCCACAUUGUUUCAAUUACUCUAGAUUUUUGACAAGUCUUUCAAUAUAGCAGUAUGUUUAAGUAAAUUAUCAAGCUUAGGGUUCUUUUUUAAGAUUUUUUUUUUGGCUAUUUUUGGCCCUGGGUAUUUUCAUAUGUAUCUUAGAACCAGUAUGUUGAUUUUGGCAAAUAUUAUUAUUCUGGGUGUGGCCUAUAGUUGAAUUUAAAAUAAGCAUCUUUAUAUCAUUGGAUUUUCUAGUAUAUGAAUGUAAGAUACAUUCUUAUGUUUACUUUGCUCCUCUUUAAUUUCUCUCAUCAAUGUUGUGUAAUUUUCAGGUACUGACCUUUCAUUUUAUUUUGGCUGUUUAAGGCUUUGGUGUUUUUUGU
Molecule: long non-coding RNA, 1076 nt
Filed under: Homo sapiens (human)
Lineage: Eukaryota; Metazoa; Chordata; Mammalia; Primates; Hominidae
Description: HSALNT0085666
Source: RNAcentral